This 458-nucleotide ribosomal RNA is filed under the name uncultured bacterium. RNAcentral describes it as "partial 16S ribosomal RNA". It matches the Rfam family "Bacterial small subunit ribosomal RNA", at positions 338 to 795 of the family's 1533-position model. The record is from RNAcentral.
CCUACGGGAGGCAGCAGUGAGGAAUAUUGGUCAAUGGGCGAGAGCCUGAACCAGCCAAGUCGCGUGAGGGAGUACUGCCCUAUGGGUUGUAAACCUCUUUUGUCGGGGAGCAAAAGCCGGACGUGUCCGGCUGUGAGAGUACCCAAAGAAAAAGCAUCGGCUAACUCCGUGCCAGCAGCCGCGGUAAUACGGAGGAUGCGAGCGUUAUCCGGAUUUAUUGGGGUUAAAGGGUGCGCAGGCGGAUUUUUAAGUCAGCGGUCAAAUCGUGGGGCUCAACCCCAUCCAGCCGUUGAAACUGGGGAUCUAGAGUGUGCGAGAGGUAUGCGGAAUGCGUGGUGUAGCGGUGAAAUGCAUAGAUAUCACGCAGAACCCCGAUUGCGAAGGCAGCAUACCGGUGCACAACUGACGCUCAGGCACGAAAGCGUGGGUAUCGAACAGGAUUAGAUACCCCUGUAGUC